CAGGAGAGUGAUGGGUUGUAAGCCAUGGUGACUGAAGGGCUUCUGCUCAACGUACUGCGAAUUACAAGAAAAACAGAAGAUUCAGCCACAACAUUGCUUAUCAUCACCCUCUGCAUAAACAAAGUAGCGGAUCACAUUAGGAUGUUCAUCUGACUCUCGCAGCAGCUGUACUUCACGGUCUGCAAAGCUGAAGCACUCGGGAAGAAUUCUUUUCACUGCGACAUCACGGUUGUCAAAUGUGCCCCUACAGACGGGAAGGAAAAUCACAUCAGCCUUUUACACUCUGCAGACAAAGACUGUAGAGAGCGAGUGACAACAGAAGACAUUUUACAGAGGUGUAUUAAAGCAUUUCUCAUGCUGGAAACAGCAGUCACAGGUAUAAUGAUCGGAAUCCUGAAGAACACCACGUUCAAGCACUGGCUGCAGAUUUGGUUCCUGACCAUCAGGGGAACACACAUUAUGCCUCCUAGCUCGCUAUGUGGCCUUGAGGUGAAGACCACGUUGUAGACAUGAAAUGGUUCUGAAGGGAAUGGCUUGUGCUGCACAAGAAGGAAGCAAGAAUCUAUCCAGCACUCAGGUACUCGGCAUGCUCUUCACACUCCUUUGGCUCGUGCUAGCCAACAAAGUGAGAAGAGGGAGAUGCUACUGUGCUGCCAGCUUUGGCAGUUGGAGGGCACAGAGGAAGACUCCCGCUCAGGUGUACAGCAGGAAAGAAAAAAAAAAAAAAAAAGAGGCAAAAACUUGAGGGCACAGGUUGUUCAGCUCGGAGGGUUGCAGAGGAAUACCAACUGUUUCAAGGGAGCUGCCUGACAUACUGGAAGAGCAGGAUGGUAUUAACAGGGAAGGGGAUCCCCGGCAGAGAAAGGUGGCAGUUAAAAGAAGCUGAAAGUUACACACCGCCCCUGCCACAGAGAUCCUAUGGUAUACAUCACUUCAUUAGAGACCUGCAUCACUUAAACCUGAACAGCUACUCGGUUUUGAAGCAAAAUUGCAAAUGCCUUGAAAAGUCAAUUCCAGAGUUUGGGGAUUUGGGACACACAGGACAGGCUGACACUCAGCCUCUAUGCCUUAGGCCUCCGUUCAUAAAAAGGGCAAAAUGUGAUUGUCUGAUCCAUGAUAAGAAUGAAAGUAACAUUAUGCACAAUAACAAAAGUCCAAAGGAACCAGAAUACAGUAUUUACAGUAAAUAAUAAGUUACCUAUACCCCUCCCUGAAGGAGGGGGUAAAUAAACAACUUUCCACAUACUGAGCUAAGCGCUCUUCAUUCUAUGCACUGAAUAGGGCAGGGGCCUUGAGAAAAACAGCACGCAUAUAUGUAAAGACAUUCAUUCAUACGGAAAAGAGGACAAAUUAGAAACGAUUACUAGAAUUUAGUAAUUACUGCCUGAGUUUAGGCAGUGAUUGUGACUGAUUUACAGCAGCUGAACAGCAGCUCUGCGGUGUGGAUGAGCACCACAUCCCGCCCCAACGGCCGGCCCUCGGGUACCUAUUAAAAGCCAGUCGUUCCA
Molecule: long non-coding RNA, 1508 nt
Organism: Falco peregrinus (peregrine falcon)
Lineage: Eukaryota; Metazoa; Chordata; Aves; Falconiformes; Falconidae
Exons: 3
Source: RefSeq, a predicted model, not a curated record